AAGCAGUUCGCCGUAAAAGUCUGCUGCCGGAAACGUAUACGCCCCUAGUUUCGGACAUUGAAUCGUAAUCGUGACAUCGGCGCAAACAGCGGUUUCGACCUCUCCUCCGUCCGCCGCCGUUCCGCUCGGAAGAUCGAUCGCAUAGACAAAUGCGCGAGAUCGGUUGACAAGCUGAAUGAUUUCUUUAUACGGCGACCGUACCUCCCCUUUAAUUCCAAUACCAAGCAAGGCGUCAAUGAUGACAUCGUAUUGUAAAAUAUGUGAGGC
RNAcentral lists this non-coding RNA (267 nucleotides) under Bacillus methanolicus MGA3. The record is from RNAcentral. Lineage: Bacteria; Bacillati; Bacillota; Bacilli; Caryophanales; Bacillaceae.